This 304-nucleotide ribosomal RNA is filed under the name uncultured eukaryote. RNAcentral's name for it is "SSU rRNA". It matches the Rfam family "Eukaryotic small subunit ribosomal RNA", at positions 587 to 895 of the family's 1831-position model. The record is from RNAcentral.
AGCUCCAAUAGCGUAUAUUAAAGUUGUUGCGGUUAAAAAGCUCGUAGUUGGAUCCCUGCCGAGGACGACCGGUCUGCCCACUGGGUGUGUAUCUGGCUCGGCCUGGGCAUCUUCUUGGAGAACGUCUCUGCACUUGACUGUGUGGUGCGGUAUCCAGGACUUUUACUUUGAGGAAAUUAGAGUGUUUCAAGCAGGCACACGCCUUGAAUACAUUAGCAUGGAAUAAUAAUACAGGACCUUGGUUCUAUUUUGUUGGUUUCUAGAAUUAAGGUAACGAUUAAUAGGGAUAGUUGGGGGCAUUCGU